RNAcentral lists this ribosomal RNA (459 nucleotides) under uncultured bacterium. Its description in RNAcentral is "bacterial SSU rRNA". It matches the Rfam family "Bacterial small subunit ribosomal RNA", at positions 30 to 507 of the family's 1533-position model. The record is from RNAcentral.
AUUGAACGCUGGCGGCAUGCUUUACACAUGCAAGUCGAACGGUAACAGGGAGCUUGCUCCGUUGACGAGUGGCGAACGGGUGAGUAAUGCAUCGGAACGUACCCAGUCGUGGGGGAUAACGUAGCGAAAGUUACGCUAAUACCGCAUACGUCCUGAGGGAGAAAGCGGGGGACCGUAAGGCCUCGCGCGAUUGGAGCGGCCGAUGUCGGAUUAGCUAGUUGGUGGGGUAAAGGCCUACCAAGGCGACGAUCCGUAGCGGGUCUGAGAGGAUGAUCCGCCACACUGGGACUGAGACACGGCCCAGACUCCUACGGGAGGCAGCAGUGGGGAAUUUUGGACAAUGGGGGCAGCCCUGAUCCAGCAAUGCCGCGUGAGUGAAGAAGGCCUUCGGGUUGUAAAGCUCUUUUACCCGGGAAGAUAAUGACUGUACCGGGAGAAUAAGCCCCGGCUAACUCCGUG